RNAcentral lists this ribosomal RNA (927 nucleotides) under uncultured bacterium. RNAcentral describes it as "bacterial SSU rRNA". It matches the Rfam family "Bacterial small subunit ribosomal RNA", at positions 8 to 931 of the family's 1533-position model. The record is from RNAcentral.
AGAGUUUGAUCCUGGCUCAGAAUGAACGCUGGCGGCGUGCCUAACACAUGCAAGUCGAGCGAGAAAGCUCCUUCGGGAGUGAGUACAGCGGCGGACGGGUGAGUAACACGUAAGAAUCUGCCCUAUAGUGAGGAAUACCCUCGAGAAAUUGAGGUUAAUACUGCAUAAGUCCCUGCGGGGAGAAAGGCGUCUUUUAUGUCGCCGCUAUAGGAUGAGCUUGCGGACUAUCAGCUUGUUGGUGAGGUAAAAGCUCACCAAGGCUAUGACGGUUAACCGGCCUGAGAGGGUGUACGGUCACAUAGGCACUGAGACACGGGCCUGACUCCUACGGGAGGCAGCAGUGGGGAAUAUUGCGCAAUGGGCGAAAGCCUGACGCAGCGACGCCGCGUGGAGGAUGAAGGUCUUCGGAUUGUAAACUCCUGUCAGAUGGAAAGAAAGGUUUGCGUUUAAUAGACGCAGAAUAUGACGGUACCAUCAGAGGAAGCACCGGCUAACUUCGUGCCAGCAGCCGCGGUAAUACGAAGGGUGCAAGCGUUAUUCGGAAUCACUGGGCGUAAAGGGUGUGUAGACGGUAUAUUAAGUUCGUCGUUAAAGGCUCCGGCCUAACCGGAGUAUUGCGAUGAAAACUGGUACGCUAGAGGGUGAGAGAGAGAAGUGGAAUUCCCGGAGUAGCGGUAAAAUGCGUGGAUCUCGGGAGGAACACCAAUGGCGAAGCAGCUUCUUGGCUCAUUCCUGACGUUGAGGCACGAAAGCGUGGGGAGCAAACAGGAUUAGAUACCCUGGUAGUCCACGCCGUAAACGAUAAUCACUAGAUGUUGGGUUCGGCUUAGCUGGAUCAGUGUCGUAGCUAACGCGUUAAGUGAUUCGCCUGGGGGAGUAUGGUCGCAAGGCUAAACUUAAAAGAAUUGACGGGGGUCCGCACAAGCG